UAGCCAUGGUGGGGGCAUUCAAGUUGGUAGCUCUUGAAUCUCUCCCAUGCAUUUCUGAAUGAUUCCCGUGGGUUUUGACGGAAUGUGGAGAUUUCCCCCCUUGCAU
RNAcentral lists this small nucleolar RNA (106 nucleotides) under Brassica napus (rape). RNAcentral's name for it is "Plant small nucleolar RNA R71". It matches the Rfam family "Plant small nucleolar RNA R71". From Rfam's summary of the family: R71 is a member of the C/D box family of snoRNAs containing the C (UGAUGA) and D (CUGA) box motifs. Lineage: Eukaryota; Viridiplantae; Streptophyta; Magnoliopsida; Brassicales; Brassicaceae. The record is from Rfam by way of RNAcentral.